AGGAUUAGAUACCCUGGUAGUCCACGCCCUAAACGAUGCGAACUGGAUGUUGGUCUCAACUCGGAGAUCAGUGUCGAAGCUAACGCGUUAAGUUCGCCGCCUGGGGAGUACGGUCGCAAGACUGAAACUCAAAGGAAUUGACGGGGGCCCGCACAAGCGGUGGAGUAUGUGGUUUAAUUCGAUGCAACGCGAAGAACCUUACCUGGCCUUGACAUGUCUGGAAUUCUGCAGAGAUGCGGAAGUGCCUUCGGGAACCAGAACACAGGUGCUGCAUGGCUGUCGUCAGCUCGUGUCGUGAGGUGUUGGGUUAAGUCCCGCAACGAGCGCAACCCUUGUCCUUAGUUGCCAGCACGUAAAGGUGGGAACUCUAAGGAGACUGCCGGUGACAAACCGGAGGAAGGUGGGGAUGACGUCAAGUCAUCAUGGCCCUUACGGCCAGGGCUACACACGUACUACAAUGGUCGGUACAGAGGGUUGCAAUACCGCGAGGUGGAGCCAAUCCCAGAAAGCCGAUCCCAGUCCGGAUCGUAGUCUGCAACUCGACUACGUGAAGUCGGAAUCGCAAGUAAUCGCGGAUCAGCUAUGCCGCGGUGAAUACGUUCCCGGGCCUUGUACACACCGCCCGUCACACCAUGGGAGUGAGUUGC
Molecule: ribosomal RNA, 647 nt
Filed under: uncultured Lysobacteraceae bacterium
Lineage: Bacteria; Pseudomonadati; Pseudomonadota; Gammaproteobacteria; Lysobacterales; Lysobacteraceae
Description: bacterial SSU rRNA
Rfam family: Bacterial small subunit ribosomal RNA
Source: RNAcentral